RNAcentral lists this transfer RNA (74 nucleotides) under Enterococcus faecalis. Its description in RNAcentral is "tRNA-Cys". It matches the Rfam family "tRNA". From Rfam's summary of the family: Transfer RNA (tRNA) molecules are approximately 80 nucleotides in length. Their secondary structure includes four short double-helical elements and three loops (D, anti-codon, and T loops). Lineage: Bacteria; Bacillati; Bacillota; Bacilli; Lactobacillales; Enterococcaceae. The record is from RNAcentral.
GGCGAGUAUAGCCAAGUGGUAAGGCAGAGGUCUGCAAAAACCUUCAUCACCGGUUCAAAAUCCGGUUACCGCCU